UGGGGAAUAUUGCACAAUGGGCGCAAGCCUGAUGCAGCGACGCCGCGUGAGGGAUGACGGCCUUCGGGUUGUAAACCUCUUUCAGUACCGACGAAGCGCAAGUGACGGUAGGUACAGAAGAAGCACCGGCCAACUACGUGCCAGCAGCCGCGGUAAUAAUCACUAGUGAAUUCGCGG
Molecule: ribosomal RNA, 177 nt
Filed under: uncultured Rhodococcus sp.
Lineage: Bacteria; Bacillati; Actinomycetota; Actinomycetes; Mycobacteriales; Nocardiaceae
Description: partial 16S ribosomal RNA
Rfam family: Bacterial small subunit ribosomal RNA
Source: RNAcentral